RNAcentral lists this ribosomal RNA (468 nucleotides) under uncultured bacterium. RNAcentral describes it as "partial 16S ribosomal RNA". It matches the Rfam family "Bacterial small subunit ribosomal RNA", at positions 28 to 507 of the family's 1533-position model. The record is from RNAcentral.
GACGAACGCUGGCGGUGUGCUUAACACAUGCAAGUCGAACGGUAAUGCCCUGCUUUUGUGGAGUGCUCGAGUGGCGAACGGGUGAGUAACACGUGAGUAACCUGCCGAUGACUUUGGGAUAACUUCCGGAAUCUCGGGCUAAUACCUGAUACGAGCUCCUGCUGCAAGGAGUGGGUUGGAAAUUUUCGGCGGAUGGGGAUGGACUCGCGGCUUAACAGUUUGUUGGUUGGGUAAUGGGUUACCAAAGCUUUUACGGCUAGCCGGCCUGUGAGGGUGAACGACCACAAUGGGACUGAGAUACGGGCCAGGCUCCUACGGGGGGGAGCAGGGGGGAAUAUUGCACAAUGGGCGGAAACCUGAUGCAACAACGCCGCGUGCGGGAUAACGGCCUUAGGGUGGUAGACAGGUUUCGCCUGUGACUAAGCGUGAGUGACGGGAAUGGGUAAAGAAGCACCGGCUAACUACGUG